RNAcentral lists this small RNA (1077 nucleotides) under Arabidopsis thaliana (thale cress). RNAcentral describes it as "ATSL169230". The record is from RNAcentral. Lineage: Eukaryota; Viridiplantae; Streptophyta; Magnoliopsida; Brassicales; Brassicaceae.
CUCGUAUUCAAUUUGACUACAUGCAUGGUAAUUUCGUCGCCAACGAUUAAAUUGCAAUAUCAAACUAAGUCUUAGACUUUUUGGCAAAACCUUAAAACGUUAACCCUCAUAUUCCUCUUGAAAAAUAGUUUUUUAUCUAGUUUAAUAGCCUUAACUUUAAUUGUUGACAGUUUGAGGGUAUUCGGAAGUAUAACUCUUUUUUUCUCCUAAAUUUCAGUUGUGGUCUUGUUAGCUUGUGUAGGCCGAGACCAUCUCAUUGGAGCCUAAAUAUGACAAACACAGUCUAAUAAGGAUCUCUAGAAGCAGCAAAGUAUAGACACUAACAUAGUUCAAGAUUCACAUUUUACAAAUUUAUUGAUUAUCUUAAAGAAGGUGUAUGCCAUCACAUAAAGAAUGAACCGAUAAUUCGGAAUAACCUGAACACUUUCACGAAAGAAAUAAAGUAGAGUGUGAAGGAAUAUUAUUUGGAGAAGUAGUAACACCAUUUGUAGACAAUGCAGACAGUUACAUUUAUAACAAAAAAAUUUGGCACUUCACGUUGCUUAUAUUUUGUCUCUUUAUUGGCUUUCUCUCUAAGAAAAUUUUAGAAUUGGUAAUUUUCGUGUUAAUUUUGGUUACGCUGUUUUUUUUAACAAGGCCAUAUAUGUGCUUUAUAUUCUUUUUACCUUUUCAUUUUCGUUAUGAAUUGUUUUAAGAGUGUGUUUGAGAUAUAGUACGUUUAUCAAACAUAAUUAGUAAUGUAGUACAUUUACUAUUCAAAAUGAGUGAAAAGUCAUUUUUUCCUGAAAUAGAGAUAGAGUUUGUGUGAGAUAGAAAAUAUAGUGGGGUAAGGAAGGGAGGGUGGAAAUUACGGUUGAAAGUUUGACUGUGUUUAAAAGAAAAAUGUGGUGGGUAAGAAAGAGAAAUGUGGGUCAUGUUUUUUUCUAAUUUUUUUAUUUUAUUUACUACUUCAUUUUUUUUUUUGUCUCAUAACUAAAAUGCUCUUUAAUGAAUAUUGUUUUUCAAAAAUUUAUCAGAUACAUAAAAAUAUAUGUUUUUUUCUCUAUCAUUUGAUAUGCAAUUUGUAUAAUAUUUUUU